UGGUUCAGGGUACACUACAGAGGAGUA
This 27-nucleotide non-coding RNA is filed under the name Homo sapiens (human). Lineage: Eukaryota; Metazoa; Chordata; Mammalia; Primates; Hominidae. The record is from RNAcentral.